AUGACACACAGGGUCUCGAUGCUGGCCGUCACGCACAGCACGUCCACCGAGGUCCACAGCUCGCAGAAGAAGGAGCCGUACUCCCAGCGGCCCCACACCACGAUGGUGGCCCCGAACGGCACCACCAGCAGCCCCAUGACCAGGUCGGCGCUGGCCAGGGACAUGAUGAAGAGGUUGGUGAGCGUCUGCAGCCGCGGCGUCUUGGCGAUGGCCACGAUCACCAGCACGUUGCCCGCCACGAUGAGCAGCACGAUGAGCGCCAUCAGCAGACCCAUGCCCGCCGUCCACUGCUGCGACAGCGGCUCGGGGCCUUCGCUGGCGGGAGGCAGCAACGAGGCGGGCGGCGACGCGGGCACCAGCAGCCGCGCCGCGGUGGCCACGCCGUCGGGGAGCGGUGCGGCCGACGACAGGUUACCGGGCUCGGAGGCGCCCAGGACGAGCCCUGCGCCCAUGCCGAGUGCCGGAGGCGGGGCGGGGGCGGGCUGGUUGGGAACACCCAGAAGCCUGGACGGCGGGGUGCGCAGAGGGAGGUCGCGGCCGGGUCAGGGCAGCCGCGGCCCGGGGCCGGAGGCAUGGGCGCCGGGCGCCUUUCCCGCCGGAGCCGAGCGCUGUCGCUGCCGCCGCCGCCGCCGCCGCCGCUGCUGCUGGAGCCGCUGCCGCUGCUGGAAGAGCCGCCGGGACCUCAGCAUGUUUCUGAGCGCGCCGGGCCCGCAGCUCCGGCACCCAGCACCCACCACCCUCCCACCCCUCAACCAGCCUCCAGCCUCCUCCAAUCCAGGCAGCCUUCCCCGUCUGGUCCCUCCACUCCCCUUUGACGGUGUUGUCCCCAUUCAUUUCAUUCCUGCCAUUCCACCCCGCUGGUCCCUGGUCCCUUCCCCUGCCCCUCCUCCCUCCCUCGCUUUCCGCCCUUCUGCAGCGUCCUCUCCACCCUGCGCCUCCCUCCGGCAUCCCCUCGACCUGCAGUGCCGGGGUUCCCUGCGUAACAGUGCGCUAGCUCCCUUGAGCGCGGAGGGGACCUUGGUGUUCAGGAAGCGCCAGAGCGCCUGGGACAGCUUGUCCGCCAGGCUUGGAGGAGUUUGCCCUGCGAGCUUGGUUGUGAUGUGGGGCAGCCUAGCAGGAUGUGUGUAA
This 1128-nucleotide long non-coding RNA is filed under the name Macaca fascicularis (crab-eating macaque). RNAcentral describes it as "lncRNA (ENSMFAG00000059957.1)". The record is from RNAcentral. Lineage: Eukaryota; Metazoa; Chordata; Mammalia; Primates; Cercopithecidae.